This 253-nucleotide ribosomal RNA is filed under the name uncultured bacterium. RNAcentral's name for it is "partial 16S ribosomal RNA". It matches the Rfam family "Bacterial small subunit ribosomal RNA", at positions 524 to 776 of the family's 1533-position model. The record is from RNAcentral.
GACAGAGGGGGCAAGCGUUGUCCGGAAUUACUGGGCGUAAAGCGCGCGCAGACGGCUGAUGAUGUGCCUGGUGACAGUCCGCCGCUCAACGGCGGGAGGUCUGGGUAGACAGGUCGGCUGGUAGGUGGGAGAGGGGUGUGGAAUACCCGGUGGAGCGGUGAAAUGCGUAGAGAUCGGGUGGAACACCAGUGGCGAAGGCGGCACCCUGGCCCAUACUAGACGUUGAGGCGCGACAGCGUGGGGAGCAAACGGG